UACGUAGGUGGCAAGCGUUGUCCGGAAUUACUGGGUGUAAAGCGCGUGUAGGCGGUUCGGUAAGUCUGCUGUGAAAGUCCAGGGCUCAACCCUGGGAUGCCGGUGGAUACUGUCGGACUAGAGUACGGAAGAGGCGAGUGGAAUUCCCGGUGUAGCGGUGAAAUGCGCAGAUAUCGGGAGGAACACCAAUUGCGAAGGCAGCUCGCUGGGACGUUACUGACGCUGAGACGCGAAAGCAUGGGGAGCGAACAGG
This 253-nucleotide ribosomal RNA is filed under the name uncultured bacterium. Its description in RNAcentral is "partial 16S ribosomal RNA". It matches the Rfam family "Bacterial small subunit ribosomal RNA", at positions 524 to 776 of the family's 1533-position model. The record is from RNAcentral.